CAAAGAAAAAGUUUUGUAUAAUAAAGUAUUUAUGAGUGCAGGUCUACGGCAAAUAAAAGAUUAUACAUAUGAGGUAAUUCCAGGAUUUUUACCUGGGGAAGCUAUUUUUGACAUAAUCAAUGAAUGGGAUGAAGAGGUGGGAAGGGGAACAAAGGCUGAGAAAUUUUGGAAAGUAGUUUUUCCGGAAUUGGAUGAAAAAAAGAUAUGGGGAAAUUUAAAUGUAAAAUAUAAUAGUAAGGAGUGUGAAAAUAAUGAUUUCAAACUAAGACAUAAUAGAAUAUUUACAAAGGUGGUGCUAAAGAAAAUUAAUUGUGAGAUAGAAAGGGAAUGCGACGUAUGUGGACGUUUCCCGGAAACUCUUAUGCAUUUGUUUAUAGAAUGUGAGGAUUUAAAAUAUUUUUUUUUGUAAAGUUAAGGAAAUGUUAUGUAGAAACUGGGGGGGAGAUUUCGUGAAAAAGUAUGCGUGGGAGGAACUUUUGUUAUUUGGAGUGUCUGGUAAAUGUGAGGGUGCUAAUGUGUGUUUGUUGAAUAUGGUUUUGAGUUUUGUGAGGUAUGCUAUUUUUUGUAGGAGGAAUUAUGUUUCUUUUGACAGAAAGAGGGUUCAGGUGUGGAGUAUCUUUAUAGCACUGUUCAGUAAACACAUAGAUAUGUUGUUUAAUUAUGGGAUGGAACAUUUUGAUGAGUCUUUUGUUGAAGGGAGUGGGUUAAUUUCACGAGAGGAGAGUGGAGGUAUCACUUAUAAUUUUUGAAAGCACUGUUUUGAUAUUUUCUUUGUUGAUAAUUUGAUAGGGGGUGAAUUGUUCACCUGCCUCUGUUAGUCUAGUGUCUUCUGUAUUGUUCUCUGUGGAUUGUACUGUAAACAGUAGAUUGUACUGUAAAUAUUGUAAACAAACAUUUUUGAUAAUAAAAAAAAAAAAAAAAAAAAAAAUCACAUUAGC
Molecule: long non-coding RNA, 938 nt
Filed under: Salmo salar (Atlantic salmon)
Lineage: Eukaryota; Metazoa; Chordata; Actinopteri; Salmoniformes; Salmonidae
Description: lncRNA (ENSSSAG00000098342.1)
Source: RNAcentral